RNAcentral lists this ribosomal RNA (432 nucleotides) under uncultured bacterium. RNAcentral's name for it is "partial 16S ribosomal RNA". It matches the Rfam family "Bacterial small subunit ribosomal RNA", at positions 29 to 506 of the family's 1533-position model. The record is from RNAcentral.
AACGAACGCUGGCGGCAUGCCUAACACAUGCAAGUCGAACGAGACCUUCGGGUCUAGUGGCGCACGGGUGCGUAACGCGUGGGAACCUGCCCUUAGGUUCGGAAUAACUCCCCGAAAGGGGUGCUAAUACCGGAUAAUGUCUUCGGACCGAGGAUUGAUGGGCGUGGGGGGGGCCCGGGUUGGAUUAGCUAGUUGGUAGGGUAAAAGCCUACCAAGGCGACGAUCCAUAGCUGGUCUGAGAGGAUGAUCAGCCACACUGGGACUGAGACACGGCCCAGACUCCGACGGGAGGCAGCAGUGGGGAAUAUUGGACAAUGGGCGAAAGCCUGAUCCAGCAAUGCCGCGUGAGUGAUGAAGGCCUUAGGGUUGUAAAGCUCUUUUACCCGGGAUGAUAAUGACAGUACCGGGAGAAUAAGCUCCGGCUAACUCCGU